Panthera uncia (snow leopard) is the source of this 926-nucleotide long non-coding RNA. RefSeq lists it as uncharacterized. The record is from RefSeq and is a predicted model, not a curated record. Lineage: Eukaryota; Metazoa; Chordata; Mammalia; Carnivora; Felidae. The transcript is spliced from 2 exons.
AGGAUCGGAGAAGGGUGGCUUCACUGAAGGCUUCAAGGAGAACUGCUCAGAAUCAGCAAAGAAGACAGGGUGAGGACGGUGCCAGGCCAGGGGUCACCGUCGAAGAGUAACGCACAAGUGCAGGUGCUAACGAGCCCCCAGAGCUCUGGCGAAGCUCCUCAGUAACAGCUCCCCCUAACCGGACAUGCGGCCCAGAAAGUCCCAGAAGUUGCUGUAGAUCACAAGGGAUACCGUCAAGUAGACAGUACUGUUUCUUUGGGUGUCCCCCGAGUAGCAGAUUUGGUUAAUAAAGGCUUUGAAGGAGGAAGAAUUUUAACCAGAACCUGAAGGAUGGAUCUGACUAGAAAGGUAAGAACUUCGAGGGGGUGCCUGGCUGGCUCAGUCGGUGCCGUGUGCAACUCUUCAGCUCGGGGCUAUGAGUGCAAGCCCCCUGUUGGGUGUAGAGAUUAUUAUUAUUUUUUUUUAAUUUUUUUUUAACGUUUAUUUAUUUUUGAGACAGAGAGAGACAGAGCAUGAAUGGGGGAGGGUCAGAGAGAGAGGGAGACACAGAAUCUGAAACAGGCUCCAGGCUCUGAGUUGUCAGCACAGAGCCCAACGCGGGACUCGAACUCACGGACUGCGAGAUCAUGACCUGAGCCGAAGUCGGACACCCAACUGACUGAGCCACCCAGGCGCCCCGGGUGUAGAGAUUAUUUAAAAAUAAAACCUUAACAAAAGGAAGGUAGGGACUUGAAAGAAUAUAGCACCUCGACGAGGAAAAACACCAAACACUGGUGGGUGUCACCUUCAAUUCAGUCCAGAAUCUGACCACUUCACCUUCUCUCCUGCCACCUGUCUUGUCCCAGCCUGGCCCCCUUCAGUCUGUUUUCUCCACACAGAAGGCAGAGGAUCUGGCCAGAGGAUUAAAAAAAAAAAAAAAAAAAAAA